CAGCACUCUACCACUUCUCCAGGAGCCUUGAGAGGCCCACGGCACCAUAACCACACUGCUGACCAUAAGCAGCUUCCCGAUGUUCGGCAGGGCUGAGUCCCAUUAGGUGUCUUCCUUGGAGUCCCAGAACAGCAGAGACUUCCUGUGAUUGAAGGAGGGUGAUUGCACCUAAAAGCUUGCUAAUAACUUGCAGGACCAACAUCUGGACGUGGGGGAGAGCAGCCCCAGCAGGGAUGAGGACUCUGGGUCACCACCACCCAGUACUGGAGCAAUCCAGAUGUACCAGCUGUGCCAGCAGCGUACCCUGGAUAGGAACCUCCUCCUCCAGUGGCUGAUGGUGGCGGAAGAGGAGCAAGAGACAUGGGUACAGGCACAGGCCUGGCAGGCAGAAAAUAUCACCCAGGAGACCACCCAGGACGAGGUGCAAGACUGGGCACAGUGGGACCACUGGUCAUGAAUGGAGGUCCUAGAGUGGGAGUGCAUGGAGCUGCUCUGGCAGCAGGUGGCCAUCCAGACCCAGACAGUAGAGGCCGAGGAAGCUAAUCAUUGGACCCUGGACACCCUCCUGGCCCUGGCUGUUGCACCCAUGCCCCUCAUUGCCCAGCCCCCACCAAUGGCCCCACAGGGCCCUGGGUCCCACUCACUGCUCCACAGCUGGCCCUCUGCAGGAGGGCAUAAUUGUGGGCAUCCACUACAGGCCAAGCCAGGAGGUGGAGGUGGAUGAGGCCUUCUUUAAACAACUGAUGAAAUCUUCCAAAUUGCAGGACCUGGUUCUCAUGGGGAACUUUAAUUAUCAGGACAAUCUCCUGGGAUGGAAAUACAGUAGUGCACAAGCAGUCCAGCACUUCUUGGAUUGUGUUGGGGAUAACUUUUUGAUACAAGUGGUAGAGAAGUCACUUAGGGGAGAAGUGCUUCAUGACUUACUGCUCACAACUUGGGUGACAGGGAACAUGAAAUAAUAGAGUUCAAGAUCCUAUGGGAAGAAAGGAAGGAGAGCAGCGAAAUAAGGACACUGGACUUCAGAAAAGCAACUUUAACAAACUGAGGGAACUGGUUGGCAGGAUCCCCUGGGAGGAAAGUGUAAGGGGAAAAAGAGUCUAGGAAACUUGGUUGUACUUUAAGGAGGUGUUUUUUAAGAGCCUAGGAGCAAGCUGUCCCAAUGCAAUAGAAAUGGGAAGUCCAACAGGAGGUCAGCCUGGCUUGACAGCAAUCUCUUCAAUGCACUGAAACUCAAAAAGGAACACUACAAGAAGUGGAAAUGUGAUCUUAGUACUAGGGAAGAGGAUAAGAAUAUCACACAGGUGUGCAGGGAGAGAGUUAGAAAGGCUAUGGCACAAUCUGAGGUGAAGCUGGCAAGGGACAUACUAAAAAGAAAUAAAAGGGGAUUUUACAAGUACAUCAAACAUCAGAGGAAGCCCAGAGAAACCAUAUGUCCCUUGCAGAAUGUGGAAGUGCACUAGUUAUAGAUGAUUCAGAGAAGGCUGAAGUAUUUAAUGGGGUUUUUUUUUUACCUAAGUCUUCGUGAAUAGGGAAUGCUACUAGAUGAGUGCCAUUGGCAGAAAAAGGAAGGAGCAGGGUUGCCAACCCAGAAACAUGUUUUUUACUGAUAAUCUGCAAACUUCUUACUGACAACCAAUCUUUUUUACUGAUACAUGUUUUUCCUGAUAUGUUUUCCAUAAUGUAAGUAUAACUCUUCUACCAGGCCGUCAUGCUUCCAGAACCCAGUUAGAAGAACUGGGCUCAAAUGUAGAAAUGCAACAACAAACAUAGUAAAAAAGUUUGGUUUGUCAGUAAAAUGUUUGCAGGAAAAAAGAGUCUUGGAUUGGCAACUCUGCUCGACUGCAGCAAUAGUUUUAUACCAUGCUGUCCCCACCCCAGCCCACCCUUACCUUACCCAUGCCUGCUAGCCUCGCUCUCCCCAUCCCCAAGCACAUACCCCUAAAGAAGCCUACCUGCUUCAGCCUACCUGACCCAGCAAUUUAUAGGCAGUUGACAGGAUUCAGCAGCAACAAUAGUACAUGACUGAAGUGGUCAACAAGACCCUGGAUAAAAGCUUCCUGCAGAGUGCUUCGCUCCUGCUCCUGUUCCUGCUCCUGCUGCAUACCAGGUGGCACUGCUGUACUCUUUCGGUGUUUCAACAGUGCAUCCAGCUGCUUUCCCAUCAAGAGCUCUGGCUGCUUAGAGUUUUUACAGACACCUAAAGGUUUUUUUCCAUAUUUUACACACAGGCAUUUUAGCCUGAUUUUUCCUUUUAAAUUGACUUUACUUAAAUUUAUGAGCAGUUGGCAACCCUGAGAAGAAGAUAAACAUCCUAGGAUAAUAGAUAAACAGGUUAGAGAUUACUCAAAGAAGAUAGAUGCUUUCAACUCAGCAGGGCCAGAAGGGAUGCACACCAGGGUAUUGAAGGAAUUAGCUUAAGUAAUUUCAGAAUCAUUGGCUAUCCUCUUUGUGAACCUGUGGAGGUCAGGUGAGGUCCUGGAUGAUUGGAAAAGGACAAAUAUAGUGCCUAUCUUUAAGAAAGGAAAGAAGGAGGAUCCAGGGAAUUCCAGACCAGUCAGCCUGACAUCAAUACCUGGAAUGAUCAUGGAACAGCGACUUAGGGCAUCUAUUACAGAGGACCUAGAGAAGAACAAAUUGAUCAGAAACAGCCAGCAUGGAUUCACCAAGAGUAAGUAAUGGCUGACCAACCUGACUUGCUUCAGUCAUAAGGUGAAAGGCUCUCUGGUUAGAAAGAGCAGUGGAUAUGAUAUAUCUUGAUUUUAGCACCACUUCUAAUAGUCUCCCAUGGCAUUCUCAUUAACAAGCUAAGGAAAUACAGAUUAAAUUAAAGUACUGUAAAGUGGAUACAUAACUGAUUGGGCAAUUGUAGUAAACGAGUAGUCAUCAAUGAUUCAAUAUCUACUCAGGAGGAAAUAGCAAAUGUGUCUUGAAUUUUGCCCCAUCCUACUGCUACAGCAGGGAAAAUAAAUAUGGGGAGUCAGGUACCCCUUUGCCUGCCUUCUUCCCUGCCCCCCACCAACUUCUUCCCCUCCUCCUUACUAUCCA
Alligator sinensis (Chinese alligator) is the source of this 3045-nucleotide long non-coding RNA. RefSeq lists it as uncharacterized. Lineage: Eukaryota; Metazoa; Chordata; Crocodylia; Alligatoridae. The record is from RefSeq and is a predicted model, not a curated record. The transcript has 3 exons.